GAUGAAGAACGCAGCGAAAUGCGAUACUUGGUGUGAAUUGCAGAAUCCCGUGAACCAUCGAGUCUUUGAACGCAAGUUGCGCCCGAAGCCAUUAGGCCGAGGGCACGCCUGCCUGGGCGUCACACGUCGUUGCCCCCCCCAUCUACUCCUUCGGGAUUGCGGGGGGCGGAUGAUGGCCUCCCGUGCGCCUCGCCGCGCGGUUGGCAUAAAUGCCAAGUCCUCGGCGACGCACGCCACGACAAUCGGUGGUUGCGAAACCUCGGUUGCCCGUCGUGUGCGGUCGUCGCGCAUCGAGGGCUCGAAAAAAUGCUCGGCUCCGGCUCGGCUUUCAACGCGACCCCAGGUCAGGCGGGGUUACCCGCUGAAUUUAAGCAUAUCAAUAAGCGGAGGA
Molecule: unclassified non-coding RNA, 391 nt
Filed under: soil metagenome
Description: partial contains 5.8S ribosomal RNA, internal transcribed spacer 2, and large subunit ribosomal RNA
Rfam family: 5.8S ribosomal RNA (bases 1-122)
Source: RNAcentral